GAUUGAACGCUGGCGGCAUGCUUUACACAUGCAAGUCGAACGGUAACAGGCCGCAAGGUGCUGACGAGUGGCGAACGGGUGAGUAAUGCAUCGGAACGUGCCCAGUCGUGGGGGAUAACUACUCGAAAGAGUAGCUAAUACCGCAUACGAUCUAUGGAUGAAAGCGGGGGACCGUAAGGCCUCGCGCGGUUGGAGCGGCCGAUGUCAGAUUAGGUAGUUGGUGGGGUAAAGGCUCACCAAGCCAACGAUCUGUAGCUGGUCUGAGAGGACGACCAGCCACACUGGGACUGAGACACGGCCCAGACUCCUACGGGAGGCAGCAGUGGGGAAUUUUGGACAAUGGGCGCAAGCCUGAUCCAGCAAUGCCGCGUGCAGGAAGAAGGCCUUCGGGUUGUAAACUGCUUUUGUACGGAACGAAACGGCUCUGGUUAAUACCCGGGGCUAAUGACGGUACCGUAAGAAUAAGCACCGGCUAACUACGUG
This 483-nucleotide ribosomal RNA is filed under the name uncultured bacterium. RNAcentral's name for it is "partial 16S ribosomal RNA". It matches the Rfam family "Bacterial small subunit ribosomal RNA", at positions 27 to 507 of the family's 1533-position model. The record is from RNAcentral.